GACGAACGCUGGCGGCGUGCUUAACACAUGCAAGUCGAACGCGCCUGUCCUCUGGGUUUCUGGGGGGUGGGUGAGUGGCGAACGGGUGAGUAACACGUGAGUAACCUGCCCCCUUCUUCGGGAUAACGGUCUGAAAGGGCUGCUAAUACCGGGUAUUCACUGGUCUCCGCAUGGGGUCUGGUGGAAAGGUUUUUUUCUGGUGGGGGAUGGGCUCGCGGCCUAUCAGCUUGUUGGUGGGGUGAUGGCCCACCAAGGCUUUGACGGGUAGCCGGCCUGAGAGGGUGACCGGUCACAUUGGGACUGAGAUACGGCCCAGACUCCUACGGGAGGCAGCAGUGGGGAAUAUUGCACAAUGGGCGCAAGACUGAUGCAGCGACGCCGCGUGAGGGAUGGAGGCCGUCGGGUUGUGAACCUCUUUCGCCCGUGGUCAAGCCGCGACGUGGGUCGUGGUGAGGGUAGUGGGUAAAGAAGCGCCGGCUAACUACGUG
This 488-nucleotide ribosomal RNA is filed under the name uncultured bacterium. RNAcentral's name for it is "partial 16S ribosomal RNA". It matches the Rfam family "Bacterial small subunit ribosomal RNA", at positions 28 to 507 of the family's 1533-position model. The record is from RNAcentral.